This 447-nucleotide ribosomal RNA is filed under the name uncultured bacterium. Its description in RNAcentral is "bacterial SSU rRNA". It matches the Rfam family "Bacterial small subunit ribosomal RNA", at positions 329 to 793 of the family's 1533-position model. The record is from RNAcentral.
GUCCAGACUCCUACGGGAGGCAGCAGUGGGGAAUAUUGCACAAUGGGGGAAACCCUGAUGCAGCGACGCCGCGUGAGCGAUGAAGUAUUUCGGUAUGUAAAGCUCUAUCAGCAGGGAAGAAAAUGACGGUACCUGACCAAGAAGCCCCGGCUAACUACGUGCCAGCAGCCGCGGUAAUACGUAGGGGGCAAGCGUUAUCCGGAUUUACUGGGUGUAAAGGGAGCGUAGACGGCUGUGCAAGCCAGAUGUGAAAGCCCGGGGCUCAACCCCGGGACUGCAUUUGGAACUGUGUGGCUGGAGUGUCGGAGAGGCAGGCGGAAUUCCUAGUGUAGCGGUGAAAUGCGUAGAUAUUAGGAGGAACACCAGUGGCGAAGGCGGCCUGCUGGACGAUGACUGACGUUGAGGCUCGAAAGCGUGGGGAGCAAACAGGAUUAGAUACCCCAGUAC